GCUGGAGCUACAAACAAGCAUGCAUUCAGUUAUUUCCCUGGCCCAUCACUGUAGUAACUGCAAGAGAAUCCUCAUCCUGAAGAAGCUCAGAAAAGAUGAAAGCAGAAGCCUGAGGAACAAGCGCUGACAGAGAAUAAAGGAAAAUCUGAGAAGUAGCUCUGAGGACAUCAAAUAUGUUAAGUCUGCUCUGAUUUAUGGAGACUUUUUACUCCUGCAUUCAAUAACACCCAUGGCAAUUUGGGAGGACAUAAUAAAAUUUGGUAUAAACACGAAGAUUAUCUUCAGCAUUUGCAGCAGAAAUUUUGCACUUACAUUGAUCCUGUCAGCAAAAUAGUGUACAGGCAGCAGCAUGUUAUAAAACAAAGCAGCUCUUGCCAGUUAAUCAAGAUUCUCCAGCUUCUCCUUGUGCCUGGACCUCUGCAGCCUUGCCCAGACAUCCUUGCCUAGGUCCAUCUGGAACUGUAAGUUCCUCUAUGGUUCCAAAUAG
RNAcentral lists this long non-coding RNA (487 nucleotides) under Bos indicus x Bos taurus (hybrid cattle). RNAcentral's name for it is "lncRNA (ENSBIXG00005005581.1)". Lineage: Eukaryota; Metazoa; Chordata; Mammalia; Artiodactyla; Bovidae. The record is from RNAcentral.